AUCUGGUGAGAAUCUUUUCUACUCUAACAUCAUGAAUGGAAUCAAGUGUUGCAUAUAAGAUCCUUCCUCAAGAUCUGAGAAAACCUACUAAUAGUUGGUACCAAAGGAGUUUCUAUUUUUAUUCAGAUCAUCCUUUGAGAAUCCUCAGGGAAAAAGGCUGCAUAUAUAAAAGCAAGCUACUUCCUGGUAGCCAAAGAUCAAAGUGGUAUUGGUAACAGAAACCUUCUGUUAGGCUUUGACUCAUCAUUAAGAAUUCAUCCAUUGAUUGUAAAUGAUGUUGUUUUAACAUGGUCAGGUUCUUUACCCAAUAGUACAUUUAACACUGUACAGAUUAAUCUAAAUCUCCCCAUUCCCUAGUGAAAGAUCCCCUUCUGUUCUGGUUGACGUGAUUCUCUUGGAGGAAAAAAAAGCACCACCUUCAU
Pantherophis guttatus is the source of this 422-nucleotide long non-coding RNA. RefSeq lists it as uncharacterized. The record is from RefSeq and is a predicted model, not a curated record. NCBI's taxonomy places the organism in Eukaryota, Metazoa, Chordata, Lepidosauria, Squamata, Colubridae.